RNAcentral lists this ribosomal RNA (430 nucleotides) under Triticum aestivum (bread wheat). RNAcentral's name for it is "partial small subunit ribosomal RNA". Lineage: Eukaryota; Viridiplantae; Streptophyta; Magnoliopsida; Poales; Poaceae. The record is from RNAcentral.
CGACUUUGAAACGAGACGGAGCCAGCGCGUAAACCAGCUUGUGGUACGGCAGCAGGCGGCGGCGGCGGCGGCGGGGCAGGCUGCUGCCGCUGCGGUUCGAGGUCGCGAAGGACGUUACCGAGGUCCGGUUGCCGCGGCUGGAGGCGCCGACGUGCUAGGCGCGGACGCCGGCGUUCCCGAAGCCGCAGAUGCGGUGGCGGCGGCGGCGGCUGCCAUUGGCAACGAGAAGAGGGGGAGGGCCUCUACCGCCACGCCCCCACCACUACCGCCACGGCGACCUGGACCGGCACUGGGGCUACGCCCACGACGUCCUGGGCGAGCAGCCGGGCGCCACGGCGCGCGAGAAGCUCCUGCCGCCGCAGCUGCUGGCGGAGGAGCAGUACGAGAAGGAGUACCGGCUCGCGGAGGCGGGGUGGAGGGAGACCUUCGG